Molecule: long non-coding RNA, 78 nt
Organism: Oxyura jamaicensis (ruddy duck)
Lineage: Eukaryota; Metazoa; Chordata; Aves; Anseriformes; Anatidae
Exons: 3
Source: RefSeq, a predicted model, not a curated record
GAAGGUUUCUCUGAUCCCAAAAAAUAAAAACGGGGAAAUUGUAGAGGAAUGGUUGACUGAUAGAGGUCACAUAGACAU